UACAUAUACUGGACAAACGGAUUCCAUUGGCUUCAAUAACACGUUUGUUGUCUAUAAUGGGAGGUGGCCACCACCGCCAUUUUGACCGUGUCACAGGUUCCGUCCAGCCCAGACAAUUCCAUAAAAGGGAAGAGAGGAGGCGCUGAGGGUGUGGCUGUAAGGCUGGGCUCGAGUGACGACACCCAGGCGAACUAGCUACGAGCUAACCUGAAGCUAACCCUGGCUAACCCAAAGCUAAAGCGGAGGUGGGAGCCGAGCUAACGGAUGUAGCCACCUAGCUUCAACCCAACCGGAGCUAACUGGAACACCCAUCGACCUGAACCUUACACGGAGUUUAGGUGGAGGUUUUCUGCGCCUGUUCGUGAGAAGUACCAGUAUUAAAAAAGUUUUAAAUCGAUCUGUUUAAAUGUCACCAUGGCAGCCUGUGUGUCUCCAACAUCAGCUACACAAAGCAGCAAGUCCAUUUGGAUAAUUGGAGACAGCUGAGUGAGGCGUGGUGCCCAGAGAGCUGCAGAGACAACCUUGGCCUCCCUGACGUCUGUGUCUCCUGGUUUGGUUGGGGCGGACCAUCGACAUACAUACAUACAUGUGCCGACACUUUGCGCCCUGUUUUAUAAAAUGUAGUGUUAAAAAUAAAUGUUUUUGCUCAA
Non-coding RNA from Nothobranchius furzeri (turquoise killifish), 650 nucleotides. The record is from RefSeq and is a predicted model, not a curated record. NCBI's taxonomy places the organism in Eukaryota, Metazoa, Chordata, Actinopteri, Cyprinodontiformes, Nothobranchiidae.